UGAGGUGUAGCUCAGUGGUAGAGAGCUUGGCUAGCAUGCAGGAGGUCCUGGGUUCCAUCCCAGCACCACAC
RNAcentral lists this transfer RNA (71 nucleotides) under Heterocephalus glaber (naked mole-rat). It matches the Rfam family "tRNA". Rfam says of the family: Transfer RNA (tRNA) molecules are approximately 80 nucleotides in length. Their secondary structure includes four short double-helical elements and three loops (D, anti-codon, and T loops). The record is from Rfam by way of RNAcentral. Lineage: Eukaryota; Metazoa; Chordata; Mammalia; Rodentia; Bathyergidae.